GAUGAACGCUGGCGGCGUGCCUAACACAUGCAAGUCGAACGAUCAGACUCGAGGUUUGCUGAUCUGACGUGAGCGGCGGACGUGUGAGUCACACGUGGAUCACCUACCUAUAACACUGGUAUACCUUCGGGACACCGUAGCUAAUUCCGUACGAUAAGUGUCACCGCAUGGUUUUUUUGUGAAGGACUUCUUUGCUGUCACUGCUAGCUGGCUCCGCGCCGCAUUAGAUAGUUGGUACGGUAACGGCUUACCAAGGCAACGAUGCGUAGCCGACCUGCGAGAGUGAUAGGCCACACGGGAGCGGAGACACGCUCCAGACUACUACGGGAGGCAGCAGUAGGGAAUCGUCCGCAAUGGGCGGAAGCCUGACGGAGCAGCGCCGCGUGAGUGAUGAAGGUCUUCGGAUCGGAAAACUCGGUUUUUGGGGAAGAACAAAUGUGUAAGUAACAAUGCCCGAAGUGACGGUACCUAAACAGAAAGCAACGGCUAACUACGUG
This 497-nucleotide ribosomal RNA is filed under the name uncultured bacterium. Its description in RNAcentral is "partial 16S ribosomal RNA". It matches the Rfam family "Bacterial small subunit ribosomal RNA", at positions 28 to 507 of the family's 1533-position model. The record is from RNAcentral.